CACCCGGCGCUGACCCGCGCUUCGGAAGGCCGUGCUGCGGCGUGCAGCACCUGGCGAGGGGCUCCCCGGUUCGGGGCUGACUGGGAACUGCCGGGAGAGCCCCGCGGAGGGCUGCGGAGCUCCUGGGGCCUAGAGCACCUCCUGAUGGGGACAGGCUGAGAGCCCCGGGGCUAUGUGCCCAAAGGAGAGAAGGCUGAGGGGGCCUGAGCUGCUCUGACCCACACCUGAAGGGCUGGGGACAGGGGGAUGGACCAGACCCACCUGGGCACUGUGUGCAUCUGCUGUAGGAACUGCUGCAGGUCGGGCUGGGGGAGCUCCAGAGGCCCCUUCCAGCCCCCACGUCCUGGGGUUCUGGCACCUUGAAUGAUAUGUUCAGUUCUGGGCCCCUCAAUACAGAAAAGACAUAGAGGCCCAGCAGUGUGUGUCCAGAGAAGGACAACGGAGCUGUGCAGAGUCUGGAGCACAGUCCUAUUGGGAAUGGCUGAGGGAAGUGGGAUGGUUCAGACUGAAGGAAGCUCAGAGAAGACCUCACAGCUCCCUGCAACUCCUGGAAGGAGAUUGGAGUGAGGAAGGGUCAGCCUCUGCUCCCAGGUAACAGCGCUAGGACAAGAGGUAAUGGCUUCACAUUGCACCAGGAGAUGUUCAAGCUGGGUAUUAGGAACAAUUUCUUCUCCAAACAGCAGUCAGGCUCUCGCUCAGGGGGCGGGGGGGUCAACAUCCAUGGAGGUGUCCCAGAGCUGUGGGGAUGUGGCACUGAGGGACAUGGGCAGUGGGCAUGGUGGGGUGGCUGGGAUUGGGUGUGGGGAUCUCAGAGGUCUUUUCCAACCUUAAUGAUUCUUUGAUUCUGUGAUUUCCUGGGAAUUCAGCUGUUGUUUCACUUGAGGACCCAGGCAGUUCCCAGCACACAGACCUAGUUAGCAGGGAGCAGCUCUGUGCUGUAUUAACAUCAUUUAUCUACUGCAGGACCUUCCCCACUUCUCCAUUGAGGUUCAGUCUGGAGGCCUGACCACUUGUAAACAGAGAGGACCUUUCCAAUGCUGCUGAUUUGUUGUAGGGCUGCUGCAUUCAUAAUACAGAUGAUUCACAAAAGAACUCCUAGAGCUCCUGCCCAGAGAAGUGCUCAGUCUCUGAGUGCCCACCUUUGAAAAAACAGGCAGUGACUAAUGGGUGUGCAGAGACAGGUUCAUUCACACUUUUUAUUCCCAGUUGUUCCCAGUGGCCCCAGUCUGGCAUGGAGCUGGCACCUGCGGCUACCUCUCAGUGACUGAGAACCCUGCUACAUCUCGUCCUUGAGCUGCAGCUUCUCAGGAUCCCUGCUGAUUUUUACCAGGGUUGGCAGAAGCACUAGUGAGCAGUUAGUUAGCCCCAGCUUUAACAGAGCAGAGGCCAGACUUCAACACUGCCGCCUCUGGGGAAUAGUUAGCGGACCCCAUGGGGCCAGGUGCAGGAAACCUGCAGUGCCGGGAUGGAGGUCGUACUUGGGCUUCGCAGUGCAGGGCAUGCAGGCUUGGUUUUCUCUGUUGAGCAUUUCCUUCUCAAAAGUUCUCCAAUUCUUUAGCUAUACAAAAUAGCAGAUACCCAGUCUCAAACUUCUAACAGUUAAAUGAAGCACUAGGCCUAUGAGGCUUGAAAGUGAGUUGCAUGACAUACCAGUGGACUCCAUGAUUUUUGGAGACAUUUUGUGUGUCUUCUGUCUGAUUGCCUCUGUUGAUUGGCCCCCUGUUCUGGGAUAGCCAGGGACAGCCCUGUUGGAGCACCUGCUCCGGUCCAUAAGGGCUCUCCAUUUCUCAUCCCAUUUGCCAUGUGCUGGGCUUCCAGGGACACUGCUGGCUGCCACAGCCAUGCUGUUGGAAGCCAGCUGGCAGUUCCUGGCCAGCAUUGUUUUGCAGUGAGAAGGCACACAGCAGUGAUACACCAUGGUCCUCUCUUCUCCAAACCUCCUCGCUGAACUUUUGACUGCUCUGUACAUUGCAGUGUACUGAAGUUGUGGUUCCACCGGUGCUUGGGAUCUCCUUUUCCAUGCUAGACCAAAGCACCAGCGGAUCUAUGGCUGUGUCCAAAACCACCUCCCCACAGGGCUGUCCAUGCACAGCCUGUAUCCUCAUGCAGCUGAUGCCAUGGAAGCAGGAUCCUGCUGACUGCAAGUCUCUGCUUUCCAGGCAUCAGCCUCUAGCCACGCUUCUUGGCUGCCUCCCAGAAACUGCUUUUAUUGCCGUUCUUUGUGCUCACUGCUUAGUCAAUGUGCUUUACAGGCAGCAAGAGACGUGCUCUCUAUCAGGCACAGAAAAACAACCUGCCGUGGGCAUGAGCAAUGGGCACAGCUCCCCACCACCUGCGUCCCUGGGGCAUGCUCCGGCCUCCUGUUGGUGGCUAAAUGUCAGCAACAGGUCCCUUCUGAGGGGCCGUGGGAACCCAAUCCCUCCCCGUGGGUCAUAUAUAACCACGGGAGCUAAAUUAGAGCUGCAGUAGUUAUGUAUGGCUAUCAGCUCUCUAGGUGGCAUUUAAAGGCCGUAAGCAACUGCAUGGGUUGGCUUUCAGAAGUUUUGCAAAGUCAGGGAUAUUUGGGCUGGAAGUAGUUUUAAUCCCAGACAAAUUAGGGGAUGUGGUACUGCCUUUUCCUUUGAAGAGGAAACAGGAUCCCAAGGGAUAGCUGGAAUUAGUACUCCGUAGAUAUUCGGGUACAGAAUCCACAGAAAUAACUCAAUUGAACAGAAGGAACUGAAAAUGGAAAGAAAAAAAACAAACAGAAAAUGGAAGUUCUUUUAGGGACUAGGAAACAAGGAUUCACAUGCAAUUUGCAGUCCUGAAGGUUGCUGUCCACCUGGAUGUGGCUGCAUUGGCAUCACCAAUUUAUGGUACAUGUUGGUUGAUUCAGAGCAGGACAGGGCGUGACUAUAAAAUCUGCCCACAUCCACUUUCUAAGUGAACACAUUCUACAUCUCAGAACUUCUACGUUCAUGAACUCUUCCAAACCAACACAAUUGUAAAAGAGGCAGAAAUGAGAGAGCUGUGCUACUCUUGUCAUAACAGGGAAAUUCCAAGAGUGAAAACUUUUGUAAAAAGAGCUGGGAUGUUGUCUUGCUUGCUGGUUGGUAAAAACUCAUCUUUGUGUUUCCAUAGUGCAAGAUUUUAAAAGGUUAAAAAAAAUGAGGUGAUAUGCCUUGGAGUAUCACAGAAUUCCUCCGAGUCUGUAUUUUAUUUAAUGUCUAGAUCAAAAUAUUACCUCCUGAGCCUGCGUGCACGUGGCUUGGUUGCUGGGACACCUGCCAACCAGGAAUUGGGGAUGCCUGGAAUCAUGUGCUCAGCAGGUGUGAACUGCGUGCAGGAAGAGUUCACCUUCUGUCCUUAGCCCCAGAGGCAGAUCCUCUUCAUUAGCAAGGGAAGAUGGAGAAAAAGAUUAUCGUCGCAACCUGACUGCAUGCCAAAGUUAUGUAUCAUAAGAAGAAAAUCUGUUCAUACGUUCACAAAUAUGUUUCCUCCUGAUCUGUCUUUAGGAAAAAUGUCUUCGUGAGGAGAGAGAGGCAAUAAUCACAGAGGAGAUGAAAGGAAGUGACAGAGGCAGAAGCGGGACCUCUGCUGAGAUUUCUUCGAUCGGGAUGCAUGUCUUUGCUGAAGGCUCUGCAAUGUAGAUUCAUUUGUCUUUUUAGCAAUACAGAGAUGAAUGCAACCCCGAUGUAACUGUGAGUGGUGCGCAGCCACACUGGCAUCACGUGGCAUGAGCAUGCAUGGCCACACCUAACAGGGAAGAGGGAAUGAAUGACGUCCACUUACUGCACCCCAGGUCUUGAUUCUCUCCAUUCAGCACUCUCCUACGUGCAGUCAUCCUAAAGGGAAGUUAGCUCUGAGCCUGUGUCACGCUGCUUGAACAAGUGCUUCUGGAGCAUGUUCUGGAGCAAUGCUCCAGCUCCAGCAGGACCAAAUGCCCCUGGAUCACCGAGGUCUCUGUAACCCUGCAGCCAGCCUACGUGGAUGUUCUGAGCAGAUGCAGAGCGCUGUCUCAUGCACGUGGGAAACGGUUCUCUGAGCUGCAAACUGCAAGUGCUGGUUUCACUUUCACUCUAGGAAUGCCAUGGGAUUGGUAACAGUGCGCUUUGUUGCUCCGAUGAUCACCUGUAAAAUCAUUCUCCGCAUAUAGUAAAACAGGAAGUUAAAUUCUU
Numida meleagris (helmeted guineafowl) is the source of this 4157-nucleotide long non-coding RNA. RefSeq lists it as uncharacterized. The record is from RefSeq and is a predicted model, not a curated record. The transcript is spliced from 4 exons. NCBI's taxonomy places the organism in Eukaryota, Metazoa, Chordata, Aves, Galliformes, Numididae.